Molecule: long non-coding RNA, 7469 nt
Filed under: Homo sapiens (human)
Lineage: Eukaryota; Metazoa; Chordata; Mammalia; Primates; Hominidae
Description: HSALNT0244493
Source: RNAcentral
AACACUUUACACAGUGCUUGGUAUACAGUAAAUCUAGGUAAUGGUUUUGGCAAGGAUUUUAUGUUUAUGUUUUGUUUUUACUUCUUCCCAGGAGACUCCUGCUUUCAAGUCAGUUCAUUAAUCAUUAUCAUUCUCAUCUACAGGAGGUAGGAAUUAGUAUCCUCAUUUUGUAAAUGAGACUACUGAAGAUGAAUGAGAUUAAAUGAUUUGCCCAAGGCCUCCAUGUUGGACUGUGAUUUUGUAAAAAGGCAGAGCAAAUUCUGUUAGUUCUACAUAGGAGAUGGGAGAUCACAGCAGGUUGAUAGAAUCUAGAAGGGGCAAAAUGGAGAUGAGAACUUAGAAGUAGAAAUGGAAACAAUGAAGAUGUCAAGAAAGGCAAAGUCAAGACAGGUGAGAGCAAGACCCAGCUUUGGGGAUUUGGAUUGGCAGGGCCAACCCUGCAAACCAGCUCAGCCAGAAGAGGGGCAAGGCACCUUCAUUAUGGGUCAAUGCUUUGGAGUUUGAAGGGGGAAAGUGGAGAGUCCCUGGGAACCUAAGCAACCCAGGAAGAAGAGGGUCAACGAUAGCAGAUCUCAUGGAAAAAGUAUUUAUGGAAGUAUGUUUUUUACCUACUGCCAUUGUGAAUUGUCUGACAGUUUCACCAUGAGGUACAGAGCAGCAGGAAGGCUACUCAGAAUCAAUCUCAUUUCUAGGGUGAAGACUCUUGUAUGUCCUGAUGGGAUGACUUUCAUAGAAGAACAGCCUGCAGAUAAUAAUGGGUUACAAUAAACUUACUGCUCCUGAAAGAACCAGCAACUAGUUUGUCCUAAAACCAAUCUUCCCUUCUGAUAAGUCCCAAUGCCAUGUAACCAUUGGAUACUUAUCAUUUGUUAUAUAAUGAGUUACGUUUUCAUAUAUUUAUGCUAACUCUCUAACUUGACUAUAUAUUCUACCAAGAUAGAAGUAAAUAUUCCUUCCUCAUUUUCCUAUGGAUAUAAAUUUAUACAUUGUACCUAUUUAAUCAAAUACUUGACUGGUUGGAUGCCUGCAUCAAAUGCAGACAUGACUCCCCCCAAAAUGGGCUUUGUAGGAGCCUAUGUGGCAAAGAUUAGGGUUCCUGGGAAGCCGAAUCUGAGAUGAAAUUAAGAGCUCGUUAUGUUAAUUAAGGUGCAUCCUUGGAUUCAACACCUCUCGAGUUAGGGGAAGGAAGCAGACAGGGCAGAGAAAGAAGUUGAGCUUCCACGGAGACCCAUCACAGCUUCAGGGAAUCUCAUAGAGAUUUCUAGAGCUAGAAUGACCCUUCAGCAUUUUCUCAGGUUGAUUUGCAAUGAACAGGCCCUUACACUCCCUCCUUGAUCAGUUUUUGGAUGUGGGCUCCCUGCAAAGGGAUGUGUCCUUGGGCAAGGCUGCUCUCUGUAACAGAGGCAAUCCUUGGAAGGGCAGCCAGCUUAUGGCCAUCUGCCAACAGCUGAAGAGCAACAAGUUCUUCAGUGAAGGAAGGCCUGGCCAGUGCAGCACUGGGCUCAUUUAUAUUAGGUAACUCCAGGUAAAUGUAAGUGCAUUUCUUAGAGGUGGGAUGAGGUACUUUGAAGUACCUCACUGAGUUUAAAGGCAAAGGUAUUGAUACCCACAGUUAUAUUCAUUAUUUCUGGUUGAGUUCAAUUACACUGAAUUUGAGAUGGCAGUUUGAAAAUUUACUGUCAGUAACUACCAAAAAAAAAAAAAAAGAAAGAGCAGAGCAUUGUCUUCGCGAUUAUGCUGGGACACUUUCAGAGUAAGUCCCCAAGAUACAAGGUCCAAAAAAAAUACUGAUGUGGUACUCAAUUGUGGUUCUUUGUAGUCUCUUUCUAAGAGAACUUCAGCUGCAUGUUGGAUGGAAAACAAUAUGAAACAAGGGAGAGAGAGAAGAAACAGAGUUUGUUAAUAUUCUCUGCUAGAUUCUGCAGAGGAAUCACUUUAUUUUGCAGUUGCAACUAGCUUAAGUUAUGUAGCUAGAAGUUAUGUAGCUAGAAAGCUGACUUGCACACUUAAAGCUAAUGAAGAGAAAUGCAGGUUUUCCGGGGUAGGUUCUUGGCACUUCUCUGCAAAUAGGUAAAAGGGAAUGGCAGAUAUUCAAGCUUAGGGAGCAAGCAGCAAGGACAGAGCCUUCCCCGUCUCUGUGUGUUGAAGUCAGCAGAUAGCACACCUGCUGCUGCGUGAGUUCCUUCUGCCAAGCAGAGCAGCACAGCUGCAAGACACCCUGCUUCUGGCUCUGAGCUUUGCUUGUCUUCAGGGAUGGAGCCCCUCCCAAGGCAAGUUCAACUGGGUUCUUUGGCAGCCGAAGUCUACACGGACCCUGCAGGGAGCGGUGGAGAAAAAUAUAUUGAUCAUGAGGAGAGGGCUCACCCCUCACCCGGAGAAGUAGUUGGGGAAGCAAUAUGCGGAAACAAAGCCAUGAAUCUGACAAGAAAUGUACUUAAGAUUGUAUAUAUGGAGAUGAAUACCCAUUGUCCUUUGCACUUUCUGGAUGAUAAAUUAGAAAAGAAAAAUCCAAAGAAUGAAGUUGUGCUAUUUGUCCUCACUUCUGAUUUGGGAAACUAGAGGAAAUUAAGAUGGGAAAAGACCAUGUGAGGACACAGUGAGAAGGAGACCAUAUGCAAAGCAGGAAGGAAGAUCUCACUGGAACCAAAAACCAGCCCUGCUGGCACCCUGAUCUUGGACUUCUAGCCUUUCUCAGAACUGUGAGAAAAUAAAUUUCUGAUGUUUCAGCCACUCAGCCUGUGGUCGUUCGUUAUGCAACCCUAGCAGACAAACAGGGACCUAGCUUAAGAACUGGUUAAAAAUGAGGCCAGUGAGGAAUUUGAUACUCUAUGGUUGGGAAAGUUUGAUUUAUUCUAAGUGCAAUGGAAUGGAGCUGGGGAUAUAAAUUUUGGAUUUACUGGCAGGUGAAACAUAUUUUAAAAUAGACUAAAAUUAAAUUUCCUAAGGACAGAAUGUAGACAGAAAAGAAUCAAGGUUUUAUGACCAAGAUCCAAGUCACUCCAAUAUUUAGAGUUCUCCCAAGCAUUUAAAGAAGGCUUACACUGAUUCUAUGUAGCAUCUUCCAAAAAAUAGAAAUUUUUCACGGCAUCUUUCCAAGUCAUUAUAUGAGGCCAAAAUUACCUUGAUAUUUUAACCAAAGACAGUACGAGAGAAAAAGCUAUAGAUCAAUAUCUCACAUGAACUUAGACAUAACAUUUCUAAACAAAAUAUUAGCAACUUGAAUCCAGAAAUAUGUAAAAAAGAAUUAUGCAACAUAGCCAAGUGGGAUCUAUUCCAGGUAUGCAAUGCUUUUAAAUGUUUGAAAAAAAGUCAAUAUAAUCUACCAUAUUAACAGGCUAAUCACAUGAUCAUAUCAGUUGAUGAAGAUCAAAUCUAUGACAAAAUUUAACACCUAUUUAUAAUUUUAAAGAACCUCUCUAAAAAUAAAAAAUAGAAGGAAAUAUCCUCAAAUUGAUAAAGAUCAUUUACAGAAAACACAAAAGCUAGCAUUACACUUAAUGGUGAGAAUCUGAAUUAGUUCCCCCUAAGAUCAGGACCAGGCAAAGAUGUUUGCUAUCAUCACUCUCAUUCCAUAUAGUGCUGGAAGUUCUCACUGGUGCAAUAAGGCACACAGUGGAAAUAAAGACACUGAAAUUUGUGUUAGUUAAUUUUGUGUUGCUAUAACGGAAUGCCACAGAAUGGAUAAUUUAUUAAGAAAAUUGUUUAUUUCUUACAGUUUUGGAGGCUCAGAAGUUCAAGGUGCAGGGGCCCACAUCUGGUGAGGGCCUUCUUGCUGUAUCAUCCCAUGGCAGAAGGCAAAAGGGCAAGAGUACAAGAUAGAAAGAGAAAGAGGGAUGGGGGAAGGUUGAUAUGAGGGAGCCAAACUCAUCCUUUUUAUCCAGAGUCCACUCCUGAGAUAAUUAAGUCACUUCCGCAAUACAUCAUUAAUCCAUUCAGAGCCCUCAUGACCUAAUCACCUUUUAAAGGUUCCACUUAACGCUGUUGCACUGGGGAUUAAGUUUCCAAUACAAAAACUUUGGGGGAUGCAUUCAAACUAUAGCCAGUUUGAAUGGAAAAAAAUUUAACUGUUUCUAUUUCAAAUGACCUAAUUGUAUACAUAGAAAAUUCCAGGCAAUCUUUUAAAAACUCCCAGAACUAAUGUAUAAGUUUAGCAAGAUCAUAGGAUCCAAGACCAACACACAAAAAUCAAUCAUAUUUUUAUACGCUAGCAAUGAAUAUGUGGAAAACACAAUUAAGAAUACAAGACUAUUUACAAUUAUUUCAAAAAAGAGAGAAAUAAUUAGAUACAAAUCUAAUGUACACAUAGGUCCUCUAUGCCAAAAAUGACAGAACCCAAAGGAACAAAUGCAAAGGACCUUUAAAUAAAUGGAGAGAUGACUUUGUAAUGGAUAGAAAGAUUCAACAUAAUAAAGAUGUCAAUUCUCUCCAACUUCAUCAACAGGGGCAAUUCAAUUCAUAUCAAAAUUCCAAAAAAAUUUUUUUGCAGAUAUAGUAAAAUUUAUUUUAAAAUUUAUAUCUCAAGGCACAGGCCAUGGACUAAGUAAAAUUAUUUUGAAAUUGAAUAAAGUUGGGUAGAUUAUUAUAUCCAAUGUUAAGACUUAAUAUAUGGCUACAAUAAUCAAGAGAGUGUGAUAUUGGUUGGGGGAAUAGACUCAUAGAUCAAUGGAACAGAAGAGAUAACCCGAAACUAAACAACACAAAUAUGCCCAGCUGAUUUUUGCAAAGGUUAUAAAAGCGGUUCAGUGGAAGAACAGUUCUUUCAACAGAUGAUGUUAAAGCAAUUAGAUGUCCAAGGGCAAAUAAUUGAGUCUCAACCUAAACCUAAUACUUCAUUCAAAAAUUAAUUCAAAGUGUAUUAUAGAUUUAAAUAUAAAUGUAAAACUAAAAAACUUUAGCAUAAAACAAAGAAAAAUUUUAGGAAGUAGGGCUAGAUGAGAAGAUCUUAGAUAUGACACCAAAAGCACAACUCAUAAGAGAAUAUAAUUACUCUAUUGGACUUCAUAAAAAUUAAAAACUUUUGCUCUGUGAAAGACUACAUUUAGAGAAUGAAAAGUUAAUCUAAAGUUAAUCUACAGACUAGAGGAAAAUAUUUGCAAAUCACAAGAUUCAACAUAGGGCUUCUACUUAGAAUAUAUAAAGAGCUCUCAAGCUGAACAUUAAAAGAAAAAUAAGCAGGCUGGUCUGAAGAUAGCGAAGUAUCUCAACUGAUUGUUCACAGUUCGUUAAGGAUCUUACUCUUUGUUCUACAAUUCCCCCCUUCUCACUACUGCACUUGACUAAUAAAAAAGCAAUUAAAUUAGAAAAUUUAUAAACAAAAUUAACAAAAGAUUUUUAACUGGGGAGAGAUGAUAUCUCAUUUUAGUUUUGAUUUGCUUUUCUCUGAUAAUCAAUGAUGUUGAAUGCGUUUUCACAUGCCUGUUUGACAUUUGUAUGUCUUCUUUUGGGCAACGUCUAUUCAAAUCUUUUGCCCAUUUUUUAAAUCAAAUUAUUAGAUUUUUUCCUGUAAAAUUGUUUGAGCUCCUUAUAUAUUCUAAUUAUUAAUCCCUCAUCAGGUGGGUAGUUUGCAAAUAAUUUCUCCCACUCUGCACAUUGUCUCUUCACUUUGUUUAUUGUUCCCUUCAUUCUGCAGAAGCUUUUAAACUUGAUUUGACCCCACUUGUCCAUAUCCAAAAGACAGGCAAUAACAAAUGCUGGUGAGGAUGUGGAGAAAAGUGAAUGCUUGUACACUGUUUGUGGGAAUAUAAAUUAGUAUAACCACUCUGAAGAAUAGUUUGGAGGUUCCUCGAAAAAUUAAAAAUAGAGCUACCAUAUGAUCCAGCAAUACCAUUCCUAGGUAUAUGACCAAUAGAAGGGAAAUCAAUAUAUUGAAGAGAUACCUGCACUCCCAUGUUAGCUGAAACACCGUUCAUAAUAGCCAAGAUUUGGAAGCAAUCUAAGUGUCCAUCAAUAGAUGAAUGGAUAAAGAAAGUGUGGUACUUAUACACAAUGGAGAAUUAUUUAGCCACGGAAAAGCAUGAGAUCCUGUCAUUUGCAACAACAUGGAUGGAACCGGAGAUCAUUAUGUUAAGUGAAAUAAGCCAGGCACAGAAAGACAAAGAUCACAUGUUCUCACUUAUUUGUGGGAGCUAAAAUUUAAAACGAUUGAACUCGUAUACAUAGAGUGUAGAGGAUGGUUACCAGAGGCUGGGAAGGGUAGUUGGGGUUGAUAGGGAAGAUGAAAAUAGCUAAUGGGUUAAAAAAAAUGAAAGAAUGAAUAAUACCUGGUAGUUGAUAGCAAAACAGGGUUACUAUAGUCAAAAUAAUUUAAUUGUAUAUUUUCAAAUAACUAAAAGAAUGUAAUUGGAUUGUUUGUAACACAAAGGAUAAAUGCUUAAGGAGAUGAAUACCCCAUUUACCCUGAUGUGAUUAUUAUAUGCAUUGCAUACCUGUCAUCUGGAUGUCCAAGCAGAAGUUUGCUGCAGAGGUGGGGCCUCAUGAAGAACCUCUGCUAGGGCAGUGUGGAAGAGAAAUGUGGGGUUGGAUGCCCCAGAGUCCCCACUGGGGCACUGCCUAGUAGAGCUGUGAGAAGAGAGCCACCAUCCUCCAUACUCCAGAACGAUAGAUCCACCAACAGCUUGCACUAUGCGCCUGGAAAAGCUGCAGACAUUCAACACUAGCCCCUGAAAGCAGCCAGGAUGGGGGCUGUAUCCUGCAAAGCCACAGGGGAGGAGCUGCCCGAGGCUGUGGGAGCUCACCUCUUGUAUCAGCAUGACCUGGAUAUGAGACAUGAAGUCAAAGGAGAUCAUUUUGGAGCUUUAAGAUUUAAUGAUUGCCCCUUGGGAUUACAGACUUGCAUGGAGUCUUAGCCCUUUUGUUUUGGCCAAUUCCUCCCAUUUGGAACAGGUAUAUUUACCCACUGCCUGUACCCCCAUUAUAUCUAGGAAGUAACUCACUUGCUUUUGAUUUUACAGACUCAUAAGUGGAAGGGACUUGCUUUGUCUCUGAUGAUACUUUGGACUGUGAACUUUUGAGUUAAUACUGAAAUGAGUUAAGACUUUGGGGGACUGUUGGGAAGGCAUGAUUGCUUUUGAAAUGUGAGAACAUGAGAUUUGGGAGGGGCCAGGGGCUGAAUGAUAUGGUUUGGUUGUGUCCCCACCCAAAUCUCACCUUAAAUUGUAAUAAUCCCCAUGUGUCAAGGGUGGGGCCAGGUGGAGAUAACUGGAUCAUGGGGGCGGUUUUCCCCAUACUGUUCUCAUGGUAGUGAAUAAGUCUUACGAGUCUGAUGGUUUUAUAAAUAAGACUUCCCCAUACAAGCUCUCUUUUGCCUGCCACCAUGUAAGAUGUGACUUUACUCCUCAUUUGCCUUCCGCUAUGAUUAUGAGGGCUCCCUAGCUAUGUGGACCUGUGAGUCCAUUAAACCUCUUUCCUUAAUAAAUUACCCAGUCUUGGGUGUGUCUUUAUUAGCAGUGUUUGAACAGACAAAUAUACAA